This 521-nucleotide long non-coding RNA is filed under the name Helianthus annuus (common sunflower). RNAcentral describes it as "hypothetical non coding rna". Lineage: Eukaryota; Viridiplantae; Streptophyta; Magnoliopsida; Asterales; Asteraceae. The record is from RNAcentral.
GUAAGUGUGUCUGGGGGAAAUCGAUCAAGAACAGAGCAAGAGGGGGAAACCCUAGCUUCAAGAAACCAAGUAAUUGAAUCUGAAUUCAUAAGAUAAUCCAGUGCAUGAGCCUUGGAAUUUGAGUAGCUAACCCCAAUUUAUGAAGUGGCGUGAAGGAAGAAGGUUCCAAUACUAGGAAAUCGGAAAGUUCACAAGAUCGAGGUAAACCUCGACUUAGGCGACUUGGCAAUUUGGAGUGAACAUACGCACUUAUUAUGACCAUCAAGCGCUUCCGCUAUUUUGUAGUAAUAUUAUGGGUCAAAAUACUUGUUGUGUAUAACCUUGUUAGUAGCUAUACUUGUUAAACUUGAUUUUAUGGUUUUUGGUCGCGUCUGUCAAACGGGUUGUAGACUUUUUAUAUAGAUGAUGGUUAAAACAGGGAUACACUCGUCGUAUGGACGGGUCAUGCCCAAAUUUUGUUAAAGUUGCGCAUUAAUGUUAUUAGUAUUUUUACCUUUCAAUUGAGAAAAGUUUGGACGUUU